UAAGGACUGUACUGGAAGCCUCCUGGCAUGUGUCCUCCUGCGUUUCGUCCCUCCCAUAUAUGCUGGUUUGAGUGGUGGUUUGAGUCCCUGGUGAGGACCAGGACCUGCCAACAUGGGGCUUCUUCCUCACGUGCUUCCUGGGCAGGUUGGGGUGCAGUGGGCACUUAUCACACCGUCACUUCUGUUUGUUGGCCUGCUAACACUGGCCUGUAAGCUGUCAGCGGGCUUAUCAUCCAUCCCUGGACAGUGCCCUGUCGUUGCUGUUGCACUCCCACAUGAAGGACAACUCCUUAUCCUCAGCUUGUCCUUCCUGAAAAGGCUGUAUCCAUCCAUGGCAGCACUUCAGGCUUGUGAGCAAUUCCGCAGCAUCUCCAUCAUCCUGAUGAGACUAUAGCCCUGCAACUGUACCUGGACCUCUUAGUUCCUCCUGCUUGUUCCCCCUGUUGAGAGGCACUUGGCUGUGCUGAUUUCUCAGAACAGGGGUGUAGUGGGUUCCUGUACCUGGAUAUCCUUAUUUUCCCAUUUCCUGCACUAACAUGGGCUGUGCUCUGGAAGCCAAAGAAGGGGUGAACUUUAAAAUAACAAUUCCCAGGCCGGGGAUGAGCUUGCAGCAAGAACCACAGGCUUGAUGGUGAUUCAUGAGCAGCUUAGGCUACCAGAAGUGGGAUUGUUAUGGGAAGAGUUAUGGAGCUGCUGCACUGGAAUGAUUGUACAGGGCAUUGAAUCCAGUGAUACAAACCUGAAAGAAGUUUCUUGUCACCACUUAUCUUUCAAUUCUUUCUCAUUGUCCUCUAUGCCAACCUGUUGCUCUUCACAGCCCUCUCCUGGACCUUUGUCUGCCUGACCAAGAUUCCAGGUGGACUUGCAUCAUCCUAUACUGUAAGCUAGGUCUAUUCACCUGGUCUCGGAGCACAUUCGUAGUUGGGUUAGAGACUUGCCUGUGGAUGGCCAGUGACUUUGUAGUAGCAAUUUCAUCGCAGGAGAGAUGAGUAGAGGGGCCUUAAGGGAACUUCUUCGU
Molecule: long non-coding RNA, 1018 nt
Organism: Strigops habroptila (Kakapo)
Lineage: Eukaryota; Metazoa; Chordata; Aves; Psittaciformes; Psittacidae
Exons: 3
Source: RefSeq, a predicted model, not a curated record